UACGUAGGGGGCAAGCGUUGUCCGGAAUCAUUGGGCGUAAAGCGCGCGUAGGCGGCCCGGUAAGUCCGUUGUAAAAGUCAAAGGCUCAACCUUUGAAAGCCGAUGGAUACUGCCGGGCUAGAAUCCGGAAGAGGCGAGUGGAAUUCCUGGUGUAGCGGUGGAAUGCGCAGAUAUCAGGAGGAACACCAACAGCGAAGGCAGCUCGCUGGGACGGUACUGACGCUGAGACGCGAAAGCGUGGGGAGCAAACAGG
This 253-nucleotide ribosomal RNA is filed under the name uncultured bacterium. Its description in RNAcentral is "partial 16S ribosomal RNA". It matches the Rfam family "Bacterial small subunit ribosomal RNA", at positions 524 to 776 of the family's 1533-position model. The record is from RNAcentral.